This 550-nucleotide unclassified non-coding RNA is filed under the name Homo sapiens (human). Its description in RNAcentral is "protocadherin alpha subfamily C, 2 (ENSG00000291668.1)". Lineage: Eukaryota; Metazoa; Chordata; Mammalia; Primates; Hominidae. The record is from RNAcentral.
AGAAUAGAACAACACUGUUCUCUUAGGCUGCAGUUUCCUUCAAGCCCCACGAUGGAGAGAAGCAGGCUAAUGCAGGAACCAGAGGCAGGAGAAGUGUCCCCUCCAGUCGGUGCGGGUGUCAACAGCAACAGCUGGACCUUUAAAUACGGACCAGGCAACCCCAAACAAUCCGGUCCCGGUGAGUUGCCCGACAAAUUCAUUAUCCCAGGAUCUCCUGCAAUCAUCUCCAUCCGGCAGGAGCCUACUAACAGCCAAAUUGACAAAAGUGACUUCAUAACCUUCGGCAAAAAGGAGGAGACCAAGAAAAAGAAGAAAAAGAAGAAGGGUAACAAGACCCAGGAGAAAAAAGAGAAAGGGAACAGCACGACUGACAACAGUGACCAGUGAGGUCCUCAAAUGGAAACAAGCCACUUAGCCAGUUUUUGUAAUAAUGGCAAAUCUCUCCCAUGUAGCAAUUCCCUGCUCCUUUUUCCUAUCUACAUGAGCCCUCUUAGAGACCUCAGAAAUCUGCAGAAAGUUCCCUGUGUCUGUCUAGAACGCAUUUAACAGG